CCUAUCAAGUGAUGCCCCCCCUCUCUCUCCCUCUCUCUCUCUCUCUCCUCUGUUCAUCCACCACACUCUCUUCCCUCUGCCGCGUUGUCGUCGUUGUCUUUCCUUAUAAUAUCUAUCCGACCCUAUAAUCCCUACAGAAAACCCAUUUAUCUCUGCAAUUUUCUUCGUUAUUGGUCCAUUAUUUUUCGUAAAAGGCUACUUCGAACAGACCGCUGUUUUUGGGGGGUUUCCAGGAUUUGAAGGGCUAAGAGAGAGUUUCAAUGCAUUGAUAUGAAGUCUGAAGAUUAUUAUUCUGCCUCCAGUGAUUCCAUCUUACUUCUCUCAAAUCUGGUGUACUACAGUUUGUUCAGAUUCCAAUUGAUUCACAAGGUUGGAAUUAGGAAUGACGUGAUGUAACUUAUAGCAAUAUGCUGGACUAUUAUGCAACCAACCCUGGUCCGGUUGAUGAUUCUGUUUUAUAUGAUCAAGACAAGCAUGUUUCAGCUGCAGUUUGGGAGGGGCAGGAGAGAGGCGCACUUAGAUGUCACGAACACACUUCAAAGCUUGACCGUUGGUUGCUUACUGAGAAACAGAUUGAACUCGUGAAAAGGGCUGGUUUUGGCUAUUUGAGAUUGAUUCCAGCAAUUAGUCUCGAUAACCCUCUUAUAUCUGCACUAGUUGAGAGAUGGAGGAAAGAAACAAACACAUUCCAUAUGACUGUUGGAGAAAUGUCAGUAACACUGGAAGAUGUAGCUUACUUGCUUGGACUUCGAAUUGAUGGUGAACCUGUUAUAGGUGUAACAUAUACCACAUGUGAUUCAGUAUGUGUUAAAUAUCUUGGAAAAGCACCGGAUUCUGGGUAUACGAGUGGUGGGAUGGUGAAGCUGAGUUGGCUAAAAGAGACUUUCUCUGAAUGUCGUGAAGAUGCCUCCAUCGAAGAUGUUGAGCGCUAUACACGUGCAUAUCUUCUUUAUCUUGUUGGUAGUACAAUUUUUUCCACCACCACCGGUAACAAAGUACCUGUUAUGUACCUACCAUUGUUUGAGAAUUUUGAUAAUGCUGGGAAGUAUGCAUGGGGAGCAGCAGCAUUAGCCUUCUUAUAUCGGGCACUUGGUAAUGCCUCUCUUAGGUCGCAAAGCACUAUUAGUGGCUGUUUGACACUGCUACAGUGCUGGAGUUACUAUCACCUUAAUGUUGGCCGACCUAAACUUCAUCACGACCCAAUCCAUGAAUGUUUUCCAUUUGUACUUAGGUGGAAAGGGAAACAUAGUGGUCCAACCUCAAACCGUGAUGUGGCCUUCUACCGCAAAGCAUUGGAUUCUCUAAAACCUACUGAUGUAGAUUGGUGUCCUUAUGCAAAUAUCAGCCAUACUGUUAUUCCUGAUAAUAUCUUAAACCAACUCAUUCUUGGAAGAUCUAAGACAAUGUUGAUAUGUUUUGACAAGGCAGAAAGACACCUUCCAGAUCGUUGCCUAAGGCAGUUUGGCAUGCACCAAACAGUCCCAGAAGAAGUGCAAAGAUGGGAAAGGAAGACACGUGGUGUUGAUGGUGGGGUAGAUCUCUCUGGAAAAAUGGAAUCAGAGCUUAGUGAAUGGGCAAAUCGCCGUUUCCAUAUUGUGGAGGCUGAGGAAGACAUGGAUGAGGGUGACUACAUGAACUGGUACCUAAAAAUUACACGCAGGGUGGUUGGAAGGCCUAUACCCAUCUCAUCUGAGUUUCAGAGAAUGAAUGCUGCAUUGAGGGACAUUGCACAUGUAGCAGAUACCCUCUCCACACAUGGAAUGGAUGAUCAGCAAAUACAGUCUGUAACAAGAAUCAGGUACAUUGCACAUGAAUGUUUGAGGGAUCAUACUGGGAGUUCAACACUUGUUGUAGCCGAUUCUCAGGACGAGGUUGGGAAAAGGAUAAGGGGAAAGGAACGGGUUAGAAGAAGGGGUACGAGUAAACGUAGAAGGAAAGAUGACCCGGAGGAAUAUUAUGCAGCUACUAUGCAUACCCAGUCCCGUUUAUAUUCUUCCGUUGUCAAUUCUGAUCAAGCACAAUUUUAUCAUGUGGGAAAUGAGGUUGAUCACCAACACCUUUGCAUUCCAUCUAAUGCUGGUGACUCAUUGUCACCCACUGGGAGAGUUGAUGGUUCAAUGGACCAUGAUGCCCCUGAUGAAGUUGAUGGAUCGGAGUACCAGCAUGGAGUUGAAGAAAUCGAUGAAGACCAGCUUUCUCAUGGAUCAGAAGAAAAUCCAUGUGAACCCAUUCCUACUAUUGAUGUUGUACAGCAAUCAUCUCUAGAAACUAGUGAGGAUGUGGCCCGCCAGAAUGAUUAUAGUGUUACAGCUUAAAGGGUCGACCGAACUUCCAAUUCUAUCUGGUGAAUAUUGUUCCUUUUUCAGAGGGAGUUCUGGAUUCCAUGGCUAAAGGCCCAGCACUUUUCUGGAGUCUCUAAUAUCUUAAUAGGGAUCCCAAGCUCCCUUGGGUUGUAAUUACUAUAGACCAUUUGGAUAAUUCUCUUUCUCCAUUUCUUUUGUAGUUGUCCAUUUUCAGGUUUUGAAGAUUGAAAGAUACUGUGCUCUGUAAUUAAUUAGAUAAUAUUUUUCCAUUUUAAAAAUUAGUAAUGUACAACUUGCUUUUGGAGCAGUUUUGCUCUUUUAGUGAGGUUGAUUGAGCAAUCUUAGAUGAAUGAUUAUUCUGAAA
Sesamum indicum (sesame) is the source of this 2667-nucleotide non-coding RNA. The record is from RefSeq and is a predicted model, not a curated record. Lineage: Eukaryota; Viridiplantae; Streptophyta; Magnoliopsida; Lamiales; Pedaliaceae.